Molecule: ribosomal RNA, 490 nt
Filed under: uncultured bacterium
Lineage: Bacteria
Description: partial 16S ribosomal RNA
Rfam family: Bacterial small subunit ribosomal RNA
Source: RNAcentral
AUUGAACGCUGGCGGCAUGCCUUACACAUGCAAGUCGAACGGCAUCGCGGGAAAGCUUGCUUUCCUGGCGGCGAGUGGCGAACGGGUGAGUAACACAUCGGAACGUACCGGCUAGUGGGGGAUAACCCGUCGAAAGACGGGCUAAUACCGCAUACGCUCUUCGGAGGAAAGCAGGGGACCUUUGGGCCUUGCGCUAGCCGAGCGGCCGAUGUCCGAUUAGCUAGUUGGUGGGGUAAAGGCCUACCAAGGCGACGAUCGGUAGCGGGUCUGAGAGGACGAUCCGCCACACUGGGACUGAGACACGGCCCAGACUCCUACGGGAGGCAGCAGUGGGGAAUCUUGGACAAUGGGGGCAACCCUGAUCCAGCAAUGCCGCGGGGGUGAAGAAGGCCUUCGGGUUGUAAAGCCCUUUCGGCAGGGAAGAAAUCGGCGGGGCGAAUAACCCUGCUGGAUGACGGUACCUGCAGAAGAAGCACCGGCUAACUACGUG